This is a small nuclear RNA of Fukomys damarensis (Damara mole-rat), 107 nucleotides long. The record is from Ensembl. NCBI's taxonomy places the organism in Eukaryota, Metazoa, Chordata, Mammalia, Rodentia, Bathyergidae.
GUGCUCGCUCCGGCAGCACAUAUACUAGGAUCGGAACAACACAGAGAAGAUGAGCACAGCCCCUGAGCAGGGAUGACACGCAAAUUGGUGAAGCGUUCCAUAGUAAA